UGGAUAAUCAACCUCUUGCUCUGGAAUACCCCGGGGAAACUCGGAUCAAUGCCAGAUAAAGUGCGGUGCUGUCGGGUGCCGUACCAAAGAUAGCUUCGGCCUUCGGCGAGAGACGAGUCCGCGGCCAUUAGCUAGUUGGCGGGGUAAUGGCCCACCAAGGCUACGAUGGGUAGCUGGUCUGAGAGGAUGAUCAGCCACACUGGGACUGAGACACGGCCCAGAU
RNAcentral lists this ribosomal RNA (223 nucleotides) under uncultured bacterium. RNAcentral's name for it is "partial 16S ribosomal RNA". It matches the Rfam family "Bacterial small subunit ribosomal RNA", at positions 118 to 336 of the family's 1533-position model. The record is from RNAcentral.